GCGUUUGGAGAGAUUACAAAUUGAUGAGCAGUUGCGACAAAUUGGAGCUAGUUCUAGACCACCACCAAAUCGUACAGAUAAGGAAAAAGGCUAUGUGACUGAUGAUGGUCAAGGAAUGGGUCGAGGUAGUAGACCUUACAGAAAUAGGGGGCACGGCAGACGCGGUCCUGGAUAUACUUCAGGUACAAACUAAGCAUUUUCCUCAGUAACUUUAUCUGUUCCUAGACUUAAUAGCUGCUAAUCUCUAAUAUUCAUUAGAAUACUCCAUUAUAACAAUUUCUCACUACAUGGUUUCCAACUCACAGUGGGUCAAAUUGUGUUUUAAGAGACAUGUAGAGUAAAAGCCCGUUAAUGACACACAUAGU
RNAcentral lists this long non-coding RNA (365 nucleotides) under Rattus norvegicus (Norway rat). Its description in RNAcentral is "long non-coding RNA NONRATT002878". The record is from RNAcentral. Lineage: Eukaryota; Metazoa; Chordata; Mammalia; Rodentia; Muridae.